Long non-coding RNA from Vespula vulgaris, 2196 nucleotides. RefSeq lists it as uncharacterized. NCBI's taxonomy places the organism in Eukaryota, Metazoa, Arthropoda, Insecta, Hymenoptera, Vespidae. The record is from RefSeq and is a predicted model, not a curated record. The transcript is spliced from 3 exons.
ACAAAAGUAGAAAUGAAGAUCUAAUUACUCAAAGUAAAUUUCCUAUUAAUUGAGCUCAUUACUCAAAGUAAAUUCUUCAACUAAAGAAUGAAACGUCAAGAAGAUAGAAAAGAGAGAUAAAUAAUACAUUAAACAAAUUUGAUAUAUUAUUAGAUGAAAGUGAAUAAAAAAUGGAAAUAGACACUGAAAUUGAUUCACAAAGAAAAUGUUAAAACAAAAGCAUUCAAGGAAAUAUAAAUGAACAAAAAUCUGGGCCAAACCCAGCAACAGUCACAAAGAGGUUACCCCUACUAGUGUUGCAUGGUAAUAUAGAAACUCGUAUCAAAUUGAUAAAUAUGCUAAUAUACAACAGUAUUAUUUUAUAUAGACAAGUUUUAUAUAAAAUACUAUCGGAGAAAAACAGAAAUCUUCGCCACAACAUAAAGAGACUCAGUACACUGAAGAAAUAUUUUCAAGACACAAAUAUAAAGAUAUUCACACUUACAAAAGAAGAUUACAAAAGUAGAAAACCUUUGUAAUUAAAGAUCUUCACAAAGCAACAGAACAAACCUCAUAAUUAAACAGCUAGAGAUAUUAAGGUUCGAAUUCAAUAAUAUGAAUCUUAUGAAAAAUACAGAGCCCUGUUUAUGGCCAAAAUUUCAGUAGAAAUUCAAUUUUAUCAACUUUGAUCAACUUAGAAAUAAGAUAAGAUACCUAUAUCAUACCAAUAUCUUUUUGGAAAAUUAUACUACAAAGUAAAGAAUUUCUCAAUGUCACAGAUGUCAGAAGUACAGGCAUGCAACAACAAAUUAUUAUACUGAUUCAGCCUGUUUAAAAUAUGCUAGUAAAAAUAAAAUAAUAAUUUUUAUUAGAGUAAUGACAUCACAUGGUAAUCUGUCCCCAAUCUUUUUUUAUUUUGUGAUUUUAACUGUAUUGUGUCUACAAUAACUUCUUAUAAUAUGUUGAUGAAGCUUUGUUUUCUCCUUUUUAGGUCAUUCAUUGUGUUUAUUUUACGUGUAAUACGUAUAUUGUCAUUUCAUAAUUCUCUGUAGUUAUCCCUAUCAGCAGUAGCGAAAUCAUAUAUUUUUCAUGACAUUAUUUCUGUAAUGUGAUGGAAGUUAUGUUAUUAACAAGUUGGCUCACUUGGAAAUAUUAUACUACAAUUAUUUUUAAGAGAAUACUUAUAAACUGUGUGAUUUCUAUUGUUCUGAAUAUAAUUCAGAUUUAUAUACUUGGCAUUAAGAUUCUCUACAUAUAAGAUAUUAUCUCCAACAUUGAAAUUGUUGGAUUCUAUGUAUCUCAUCAACCACUCACUUAAACUGUCAUACUUUCCUCAAAACUAGAAAAGAGACUUAGUCAUUUCUAUAUGCAAACCAUGCAAAAGGACAACGGAUCUAGGAAGUUGUAGGAUAAUAAGCCUAUUUCCAUCAAUGAAUAAAUUGAUGAAAAAUAUAAUUUUUAAAAAAUUGAAUAAACGUGAAAUAAUCAAACGUAUCAUUACAGAUUAUCAAUAAUGAUAGCACAUAUUUUAAUCAAAGAAAUAUAACUAUACUUCUAUUAUUAGAUAUAAAAAAAACAAGGCCUAGAUCUGAAAAAUGAUAAGAUAUAAAUAUCCAAAUUCAAUUAUAAGAUUAAUUGCUCAUAUUUAAGAAUCGUAGUAAAUGGAAAUAAAUCAAGCAAAUGCAAAAUUAAACCAGGGAUGCACCCUUAGUAAAAUGAUCCCUCAAGGAUCAGUAAUAGGAUCAAAACUACUUAAUAUAUAUGUCAAUGAUUUACCUAUCAUUCCCAAAAGUAAAACAGAACAUUUUACUGAUAAUACUGCGAUUUAUAUUCACGUAACAAUUCUAAUCAAACAAAUACAAGUACUGCCUCCAAGUUUGCCUAACACUGUUUAUGACAAAAGAAUCAAACUAUACAAAAUAUUACAGAAAUGACCAAUUAUUUAAUCAAAUCAACACUUCAUAUAAUAAACCUACAUAGGAAUCGUUUUGUUAAAGAAGUAACUAUUUAAGAAAUCUAUUGCCAGACAUCCUAUACCCAUAACCAACAUACUUUGAAAAAGCCAAACAAAUAGGAUACACAUUAUCUAAAAUAUUCCCGUAUCUAUAUCCUAAUAGACUCAUUAUUAACAUGUCGAGACAUCAACAAUAUCCUAAUAAUUAAUUCGUCUCUUAUGGAAGAUAAUCGAUGAAAUGAAUUACACGUUUAACAUAUAAA